GCAGGCCCCGACCCAGUUGCCUGGUUUCCCGCUGCCAUCUCGCUGGCCGCGCCCGCACAAAGACCGCGCGGUGACGGCGCAGUGCCACGACCCCGCCACUCCAGCCCCGCAGGAACCGCAGCCGCCGCCGCCGCCGCCGCCGGGGAAGCAGUUCCGGCGGCCGCCGUGACGCGCAGGCAAGGCACGGCCCCGACCCGCGGGCCAUCUUGGCAGCGGAGGGAGCGGCGGAGCGACAGGUACACGCGCCGCCCGGCCCGGGCCAGCUCAGGUGCGGCCGCCCUUUGUUCUCCCGCAGGUAGUCGCGUGCCACCCGCGGGCAGCGCCUUCACCCGCAGCCCGAGCUCCGGCAGGUGCAUCCCGCCAAGUCUGGGCAGCGCAGGUCUGCGCAUCCCGUAAGGCCUGGGCAGGUCCAGCCUAUGCAUCCUGCAAGGCCUGGGAAGGUUCAGCCCGCUCAUCUCAUAAGGCCUGGGUAGGUCCAGCCUGUACAUUCUGCAAGGGUUGAGCAGGUCCAGCUCGAACAUCCUUCAAGGCCUGGGCAGGUCCAGCCAGGGCCCCACACGUUGACCCUACAAAGCCUGCAGAAAGGAACUGCGCCCAGGACAGGACCAGUGGCCUCGGGCUUGCCCUCCUAGAUUCUGCCUGGGCGCACCUGCUUCAGCACCCAAGGCCUUUUGCUCUGGUUCUCCAGCUCUCUGUGGCUUAACCUUGGCCAGCAUGGUCCAACCUCAGACCUCCAAAAACGAAAGCCCAGCCUCUGCCCCUGGUGCCAGCGCACAGAUGGAUGACGUGGUUGACACCCUGACCUCCCUGCGCCUCACCAACUCUGCGCUGAGGCGCGAGGCCUCCACGCUGAGGGCAGAGAAGGCCAAUCUUACCAACAUGCUGGAGAGCGUCAUGGCCGAGCUUACUCUGUUGCGCACCCGGGCGCGCAUCCCUGGCGCUCUGCAGAUCACUCCACCUAUCUCUGCCAUCACCUCCAAUGGGACCCGACCCAUGACCACGCCGCCCACCUCGCUGCCUGAACCCUUCUCGGGAGACCCUGGCCAGUUGGCGGGGUUCCUGAUGCAGAUGGACAGGUUCAUGAUCUUUCAAGCUUCCCGCUUCCCAGGUGAAGCCGAGAGAGUGGCCUUCCUGGUGUCUCGACUGACUGGGGAGGCCGAGAAGUGGGCCAUUCCCCACAUGCAGCCAGACAGCCCUUUGCGAAACAACUACCAGGGCUUUCUGGCCGAGCUGCGCAGAACCUACAAGUCUCCGCUGAGGCACUCACGGCGUGCACAAAUCCGGAAGACUUCGGCAUCCAAUAGGGCUGUGCGGGAGCGGCAGAUGUUGUGCCGCCAACUGGCCACAGCUGGCACAGGAGCCUGCCCAGUGCAUCCUGCCUCCAACGGGACCAGUCCGGCACCAGCCUUGCCCACCCGCAGCCGGAACCUUUAGGGAACCUGUGGCCACCCAGGUAGCUAGACUGUUGCUGAGAAGAAUUGUCGAUACAGUAGCAUUGUCCUGUGUGCAGGCAUCUUUCAUGCCUCUCCCAGUCUGUGGGAGGUCAUCCUGCCAUUCUCAUUGGUCAUCCACCCCGCUGUGCGUUUUGCUAGCUUUACCUGCAACUCAGUGCAUGUUCCUCCCCUCUGUUGCUUGCAAUCCCAGCUUCUCUAGUAAUCACAACAGAGCCCCUUGGACAUGUGCCUGCCUAGGAACCAUUUAGGCUGACCACCUCUGUGGGCUCGGCUAGUGGACAUUCAGCUUCUGUGCCCUCCCUCCAAGCACCCUGGCGAUCCCCUUCCUGGUCACUCUGGUCUUGCUGAUGAGUUCUGAAUAGAAAGAAACCAGCUUGGCUCUGAAGGUGGCUGAUGUAUACCUGAACCAGCUUGCCCACAUCUGGUCCCUUUGCAAGGAAGCCAGGUAGUCAGUCACUCUGCAUUCCAGGGAUCCUUUCCUCUAUGGGGGAGCCUGUGUUCCAGCAUACCCCACUGCUGUUGCUGGGAACACAUCUGGCCCUUCACAGACGUUCCCUCUGCCUCUCCUGUCCGCAGGAGACUCAUCCACACCUGUCUGUGACUGCCAGUGUCUUGAUGGCAUCAGGGAAAUCUAGCAUUCGUCUACCAAGUUAAUCAUGGACCUGGGACCCUGGGCAGUUCCAUCAGGCUGCCUAGGCAACAUCCAUGCGUCAGCCAUAGCAGACUGAGGGGGACCUGGGGACCCCAUUUGCUGCCUGGAUUUCCGUUGAGAGGCUCACGGGUGUCUGCUCCUUUCUGCCCAUGUGGCUCCAUGGUGGCCUUGUCUAACCUCAGGCCCUUUUCCACCCAGGGGCCAUGUGGCUUUCACCUCAGCCUUUCAGCCGCCCACACCAUCUCUAGGGGUCCAAGGAACCCACCAACAUAUACCCUCUCUGUGCCUGGGCCUAAUGUCUAGCCUCUGUCCAAGAACAAAAGACUGGCUGGGGGCCAAUUCCUCUAGAAAGCAUCGGGCACCUUCGGUAGUGGGUGUUGGCCUCUUGCUGCCCCAGUCUGAAGAACUGGUGAAGAGCAGCCAAUGGCUUUGGUCCUCAUAUGGACACACAUUCCAGUUCUGAGGAACAAAACAUUGACUUCUUCACAGAAGAAUGCCUGGAGAUGGUAUUCAGACUCAGCCGAGCUCCUGGACAGUGACAUGUGUCACAUUUCAACGCCAGAUUAACUGUUUACAUGCCCACUUGGCCCCUUGGGGGAGAUGGGUGCCUCUCCUGGGUUCUCCUGCCCUCCUCUGCAUGGUCUUAGCUUGACCACAAAAAACCCCACCUCUGCACCCACCCAAAUACAUUUCUCCCCUCUUGGGAGUCCAGAGGCUGGGGCCUGGAACCUGGCCUCUUUCAGAGACUUCCUCCGUCAUUGGGAAAAGUGACUGAUUCCAAAGCAGGCGCCCUUGCAAGGCCAGGAAUCUUCAAUGCUCGCUGGCCUCACAGCCCAUGGCCACCUGCUUCUUGUUAACUUUGUUAGCCCAGUAGCCUUGCUGAAGAGCCUGGACCAAGGCACCCUGCUGGCACCGUGGUGCUUCAUGAGCAGGUGGAAGACUCCCUGGGGGUUCCACUGAGGGUGCUCACCGGUCCCCAAGAGCUGAGUCUCAGGACCUUCCAGUAGAGGGCCCCCCCCAGUGAAGCUACAGCAUCACCAGAGAAGCGGGGAGGUGUCUGUGGAGGCAAGAGACACCUGGAAGGUUUCUUUGUGGCCUUUUCGAUCAGGAUUGGAGACCCACUGGAAGGGCAUGCCACCUACCCUGGCUCCUUGGACCACCGGGUGCUGUAUUGGCUUUAUGUCCCACUCCAGAGUCCUCGGCUGGUGGUGCUGGAGACAGAGCCAAGCAGGCCAGCUGUCUCCCUGUGUGGCUUCACCGUCUCCCUUUGCCAUCUGGGCUGACUCACCUGGGUCGCUCUGCUGCAGUGGGUUCACGCUGCUGCUCUGGUGGCAUGGGCUUGGUGAUUGUGUUUUGUUGUCAUCCCCCCCGCCCCCGUGCUUGUGUUUAUGGAAAUGGGGGGCAGUGCUGCCCUGUAUUUAGAACCAUCUCGAUAGCUCUCUGUGGCUUGGAGCCUGGAGCACAUGAGAGAGGGUUGAGGCUUGCCCUCCACCUUGGACCUGGAAGAGCCGCUUUGGAUCUGUUACUGAGGAGCCCAUGGAGGCUCUAUCGGAGGGCAUGGUUAGUCCCUAGCCAAAAUGAUGAGAUGCAAGGCCCAUGUAGCUCCAGAGGGAGACCUUGAUAAUUGGGCAUCAAGCUGAGGAAGAGGGGGAGGGGAGGGGCAGCUUUGUACAUAUCCCAAGGUUGUAGUUUCUUGAGCUCAGAAGAGAGCAGGGAGAGGGAGACAGAGGAGUUGCUGUACGAAGGAGUGGCCUUUCUCUCGGCAUUGACUGUUGCAGCAGUACUGUGCCUGCUCCCCAGACUCUGUGACGCCCAUCUGGUAAGCAGGCUUCACUGUGUUCAGUGUAACUGACAGUGGGACCUGGCAUGCGGGUAACUUCCCAGCCUAGUCUGUAAUGUGACCUUGGGGUUCUCUUCAUAUCCCAGAGCAUUUAGUGACUUUGAGGAAACAGCAAAGACCCAUCUCGUUGGCCCCAGCCGAGUACGUGACAGGCGUGAAUGCUGCAUGAUAGUACAUUUGGGUUGGCCCGAGACAGGUGCCUUUUGUUGCAGAGGACAGAGCCACUACUGGAUGAGCACGCCCUGAGCAUCCGCCUGCAGGGGAGUGAAUGGAGGCGGGGAAGCUGGUGUGGGCUGAGGGUGAUUUAGGGGGUAAGCCUGGGGCUUGGCUGUAGCACGCUGGGGACAGGGCAUCAGGUGGCAGGGCUCUGCAGUGUAACAUGCAUGAUAAGUCCGUUCUGUUGCCCUUUGCCCCAUCCAGUGCCACCAACAGCUGGACCAGAGCGUCCCGUUCUCCAUGGCAGCACACAUCAGGAAGCUUAGGGGACCAGGGAGAGGAAAGGACAUGGUCAAAUUCAGUGCUUUGAGGCUUCCUUCCUGUCCCUGGCCCCAUCUUUCUUCGCCUCUUACACACCCAUGGACCCCCACCGUGCGCAUAUGACACAGCUGUUCCCAUGUGCCACCAACCUUACUCUGAAUGGCUCUGAACUCUCCCCUCAGGUGGAGGGACAGUGCUGCGUACCGGCAGAAAUUUGUGUCAGGUUUUCCUCCGAGGGCCAAGUUACUCCCUUGGGGUAGACUCUCAAAGGUGGGAUUGUUGGAUUAACAAAUACGGGGCCCUCUGAGACUUUUAUUGUCUCCUGACAAAACGGUUUCCAGAAAUUUCUGUGUCCAUUACACUGCCAGCAGCCAGGGCUGAGUAUUCUCUGACUUGAGGACAGCAGCGACAUGCUUUAGUCGCAUCUCUCGAGUCUAGCUCGUUGAGCGUCUUUUUACACCAAGUGACUGCAUUUCCUCUUUUGCAGACUGCCGAUGUCCUUUGCUCCACUGAUGGGCCUGACCAGUUUGUUUCCACGAGGCAGCGGAAGGCCCAGACUGCUCCUGUCUGUAGUCUCUGUGACACUGUGGUGAACCCCUGAGGAAAUCCACUGCACGCUGAUGAGAUGGAAGGGAAGUCACACAAUGUCGUACAGAGUGGCCUUGUAGAGUAGACGCCACUGGGCUGGGAAGGGCUAAGAGCAGGUGGUCCUGACCCACUCUGGAGCCUCUGGGAUGGCUCUUAGUACUUUGAACCUCAGGCCUCCCCCCCCCGCAAUAAACUGUCAUUUCUGGGAUUAAUUCGGUGCGUCUUGUGAGAUGUGUCCUCCACACCCACACCGUACAGCGGUCCUUCCCUGGAGUGUCUGGCCCGUCCCACGGACUGCCCUGUUCUGGUCCAUUUCGUGUUUGUGUUUGGACUGAGAUCUGGUAAGGUUCCUACUUCACACGUUCUUACCUCUUACCACUAAAACAAUUAAUUUCUAAGGUUUCCCUUAAAAUCCCCAUAGCAGGUGCAGCUUGGGGAGGGAUACCAUCGCUGUGAAGGUUCCUGGUGGCGUUGGGCAGCCGCAGAACCCUGUCAUCAGAGGUUGGGUGACCCUUGCUCUGGCCAGCAGCAGACCCAGACCUGAAUGCUGCCACCAUGUGUCUGUGUCUCUGGUGUGUAAGAAUCUGUCCCAGCUGGCUGUCCUCUGCUUUGUACAGGUGCAGAGCAUUUAGUGGCUUCCUAGAUGUCCCCAGGAGAUUGUCAAGGGUCUACCAUCCCCUUCGACCUGACAGUAGAGAGAUAGAGGUGUAGGCCCCAACCCAUCCCUUUGUCUGGCCCAAGUAAAAGCUGGUAACUAUGACUGGGGACCUGGGCCAACAUGCCAGUGACCAUGUGCCUCCUCUCGGCUUCUCUACUUGGCCUAGGGGACUCUGGUGGUCUAUUGUCUGUCCACGCUGUCCCCAAAGGAGUGGAAACGAUGUCAACCCACCUUUCUUCAGCCCACACAUGCCCCCCACCCAGGCCUGACACUAACCAUUGAGGGGCCAGCCUAGAUCCUUUCCUGCUUCUCAGGCCUGGACAGCCCGUCUUGUUCUCUUUCCAAUGACACUUGACACAGAUUUAAGGUUGCUGUUAGAACGCCCCCUGACCUGGUUAGGGUUUUCCUGGUUGCCCCUCCCCCAGCCUCUCGUCUGUCCAGUGUUUUAUGUUUCCACUGAACUUGGGUCUUUUCCACCAAAUGGUGCAUCUCGAGGGCAGGGGUUCUGCCAACCGUGUCCCCAGGGCCUGGCUUGCUCAAGGCAGCUGUGAUCAUACAGCAGACAAAGACAUGGCGGCUGUCCUGGUCACAUAGCCCGUGCCAGAGCAGCUGUCUGCCUGGCACUCUGGGGAAGCCCACAUACCCCACACUCUGUCCUACUUUGCAAGGUGGGAUCAUCUGUUCCUAUGCCUCUCGACCCACUUAAUAGGCAAGGAGAGCCGGCCUUGGGGAGGACAGGGCAUUGUCUUUGGGAAUUCCUUAACAAUAAACGUUUCAUUCCCUGGUCUGGCUACAUGGAUUAAGCACUCACAUUCCUUUGCAAAUGUAACUUUUUGGCAAUUUCUUUCAUCACAAGCCAUGCUGUAACAACAGCCCCAGUAGCCAAUUUUCCUGGGAACACUUCCUCUCUUGUCAACAGGACCUUGUUCUCAGGCUCAACAGCUCCCUAUCUGCUUAAUAAGGGCCAUUGCUAGUACAUAGGAAAAAGGGAACGCAUUGCGGUCCCUCUGAACACGUGGGGAACACAGUUUCUCAGUCCCUCCUCAGAAUGUAGCAGUUUGUGGUGACCAGAAUUCCCUGGACAGCUGGAGGCUCUUUUUCCAAAUAGUAGAGAUAAAUGUGUUAUUUUUUAUUUAGUUUUUAUUUCAUUUUUGUGGGGUUGGUUUUCACAUUUUUAUUGGGGAGCAACUGGGAAGGGGGCCUCUUCCAUCAGCAGGAACAUUCACAGGUUAUUCAGCCAUUCCAGGCUUGGGCCCUGAGGGUACUGGGGGUGGCUGGGCAAACGGGCCUAUGCCCAUUAUCUCACACAGGCACUGGGUAGUUGUAGGGUGUGGCCUGGGUGAUCAUGCCCGCAUACUUGGUGUAGGGGCUGACUAUGGGCAUAAUUAUACCAAGACCCCAGACGGAGGGUACCACCAGUACUGGCUCCUUUGCCCAGGUAUUCUUGAGGAAGGUGGAGAGUCUCCUGGCCAUCUUGGUCUUGACCAGUGUGUUAUUUUUUAAAUACUACCAUCUGCAGUAGAAUGAAAGCGUGUCCCCAAAUUCAAAUCUUGAAAUCUGCACCCUAAUGUCAUACUGUUGAGAAACAAAUGUUUGUUGUUCAGGCCACAGUCUGUGACACUGUGGUGGCUUGAGAGAGGACAGUCACCGAGGUUCACGUGUGUGAACACAUGGACUCCAGGGGAUUGAGCUGUGCAGGAGGUUAUGCAGCCUUGCUGGAGGAAAUACGUCAGUGCGGGGUGGGCUUUGAGGGCUCAUAGCCUCUCCCACUGCCAAUUGCUCUCUCUGCUUCCCACUUGUGGAUGGAGAUGUGAUCUCUCAGCUUCCUGCUGUCUCCCUGUCAUGAUGGCCUCUCCCUCUAGAACUCUAAGCCAAAGCAAACUCUUCAUAAGUUGCUUUUGGUCAUGGUGUUUAAUCACAGCAACAGAAAAGUGACUAAUACAGCCACCUCAGCAACCACCCCUGAGCUAGAGUCCACCACACUGAAAUCUCCAACCUGCAGGCAAUUUCUAAACCUGACUCUUUGGGUUUUUUUUCGUAGUGAUGUUUUCUAUGAUGGCCGAGCUGGAUGGUUUUAUGUCAACUUGACACAAGCUAAAGUCAUCUGAGAGGAGAGAAUGUCAAUUAAGAAAAUGCCUUUAAGAGAUCAGGUCUGGUCACCGGUGUGUGAGGGAAGAGAUUGCAGAAUGGAAGCAGCAGGUUUCAGACCUGGCCUGGAGGGCUGGCACCAGCCCAGAAGCCUGGGCAGCUGCUGGGGCUGUGGCCUUGAACUUGGGAUGUAGCCCAGGCAGGCACCUUCUUCUGUGGGCCUGGGCCACCGAAUGUUCCAGACAAGUAGUAGAAUUUUUCCAGCAUGUCUUUCAAGCUUCUGUUCCAACGUCUGAGUCCAGCUAGAGGAGAGGACCCUCUUGACCAGAACUGUGUGACUCAGAAAGACACGGGAGGAGGAAAUGGGUGACAUGCUCAGAAGAGGCUCCUGGGAAGUUGCUGGGGAGAGCAUGAGAGCAGCAGCCCCUGGCCAUCACCCAGCAGAGCUCCAGGAAUGUGGAUCUCAGACCCGGGCUCCGCGUCCUCUGAGUAACACGGUAGUGCCAUCAUCCCAGUGAAGGUGAGGACAUGGCUGGAGAGACUUGGAAAUCUGUCCUAGAAACAUCAAAGAGAAAAAGAAAGCAGUGAAUAAAAUCUGAGUCAAGAGGUGAGGAGCCUGGAGAGGUGGAGUCUGCAGCCUGGACUCAUUUUCCCCAGAGAGCAACUGUUCUGGAAGGAGAAGGUGACAGACUGAGGGUGAGGGGUGGGAACAGGGUGAUGACAAGCUUCUCCACUCAGCAUUUAGGGGUGGACUCCAGAAGCUAAGUAGUUCGUGGGUGCUAAAGUGGCUGUCUUGAGUGAUCAAGGUGGUGCUCCCAUCCCCCGGUUCAGAUCAAACCAGCCUUGAAUGCUGGCGUCCCCAACCAACCAGAGAAAUAGAAAAGUUCUCCUUAGAGGGGGGUAAAGCCAUCUAAAGUAUUUCCAUGGAGACUUUCUCAAAUAUAACAUCCGAUCCAUCACCACAGAUGAUUAACAGAGAAGAAAAUAAGAACACAGGAAGGAGACCAGAGGCAGCACCGGACACCCCUCAGAUGUCCGGACAGCGGAGCAGGACACGACACAGUCUUCAAGCUGGUUUCGGGGCUAAAAGUAGAACUUAAAAAUAUCAGUGUUGGGGAAAGGCUGGGGAGAUGGCCCCGUCCGUGGUGAAGAGCACCUGCUGCUCUUGCAGCGGUCGUGGGCUCUGAGUCCCAGCACCCACAUGAGUGGGGGAGCUCGCAACCACCUGUGAAUCCAGUUCCUCUCCUGGCCUCGGUGGGCACGCACACAUGUGGUGUACAUGAACUUACACAGGCACACACACACACACACACGCACAAAAAUUCUUAAGAAAAAGAGAGGAAGAAGAACAUGAAAAGCUGGUGAUGUGACUCGGAGGGCGAAGCGCUUGCUGUGGCAAACUUGGUGGCCUCCGUUUGAUCACCAGCACCCACAGUGGAAGUGGAGAACAGAGUCCUGAAAAUUAUCCUCUGGCCCCCACACGUGCACCGUGGCACGCACAUGCCUGCACACACUCGCACACGUACACAUUAGUAUGUAUAUAAUUGUGCGCAUACGUAUGUAGAGAAAUGGAGUAGACACGGUAACAGGCACAUUGGAAGACGCUAAUUAAAUUUGACUGUGACACCAACAACCAACAAUAAGGGGCCAACAGAGAGACCGAUUUAACAGUGUCAGGUCUCAGAGGAACCCAGGAGACGUCUCACUCAGUACCUGUGGCUCCUCCCAGCACUGCUGACCCCGCCCCCUACCCUCAACCUCUCCAACCCGGGAGCUGCGUUUCCCUUCCCUUGGAUUCCUGUAUCACCCUGCCAUUUUGGUCACUUCCUCUCUUGGUUCCUGGUUCUUCUCUUUCCCAUCCCUUUCCCCCACCUCGUCUCUCAUGGCCCGGUUCAUGUCCGGUCUCGACUCUCCCAGACGCCUCUGGCUGGUCUCUCCCUCCUAUCCACAAUUAACCUUCUCCUCAACCACACAGAGGAACGGCCAUGUCCUCAUUUUUUUUUUUCAUUCAAACAGCAGAAGGGGGAGCUGGAAAUUCAUAUGCAGAGUGAAAUCUUGAAUGGGAGGACAGGAAAGGAGAGGACUCUGGAAGAGGGUAACAGAAUGUCGGAGGGAAAGAAAGCGGUCCAAGUACAGUUAAGACCCGAAGAGAUCACCUUUGGGGGAUUUUCUGCUGAUGGAGACAGGAGUACACCAUUGGAUUCACGUAGCUCAACUGUUGGGGGACAUUUUCUGGAGAGAUGAGAAUAAACAGCUAUUCUUCCAAUGGGUGUGGAUCAAGGAAACCAUCCCACUGCAGUCCAGGAUGGUGAGCCAGUGUGUGUUUGGGGGUUACUUAAGGGACACUGGUGACUCAGAGGUGGCUCCAUCACCAGAAAGUCCACCUUUCUGGUCUUCUCUCUCCAGAAAGUGUUCACUAUUUUUAAAACCUCAGGGAGGAGCUGUGUGAACCCUGUAAGCUGCUGAGCUGAGCCUGAGCCUUGUGGAUUUGGGAAGCUUCUUGAGUUUUCCAAGUCUCCCUCCAUCUUCCAGGAGGGACAUUCUGUCUCAUCACAUAGGCAGGGAGUCUUCCAUCUUGGAGACAGGGCUUCUGGCUAACAAAGCCCUAGGGGAGAAAGCUGCAGGCAAUGUAUGAAUACACCCGGGGUCUCUAUUCUCAGGCCCAGAGGCUGAGUGCUCACUGAGCUAUGCACUGAAGAAAACCCAUUGCUUUGUGGAAUUUUCCACAUGGCCUUAACCAGAAACAUCCUUAGGUUUUCCAAACACCUGUCUAACCUGAACAAAGAAAUACUGCCUCUCAGCUUAAUCUGAUGAUGUCAUGUGACCUUGGACCUACUUUCCCAUGUUACUACCUCCUUCCCAAGGGAUCUUGAAAGAAAUGCCCUUUGGGGGGCUGGAGAGUUGGUUCAGUGGUUAAGAGCACUGUCUGCUCUUUCAGAAGACCCAGGUUCAGUUCUCAGCACCUGUAUUGUGGUUCACAACCUUUGUAAGUCCAGUUCCCAGGGGUUCGAUGCCCUCUUCUGGCCUCCAGGGGCAGUGGGCAUGCCUGUGGUGCACAUACAUACAUGCCUACAAAACAUCCGCACAAAUAAAAAAAAAAAAAAGAAAAAAGAAAAAAGCGAAAUGCCUUUCUGCCUUUCCUGGGCAGGCUGGGGUUUUGCUUCCCUCUGCAGGGUUGCCGACAACAUUAAUAAGUGUUUUGCCUGGAGGCAGAUCCUGCACUGUGGCUUCCUAGAACCGAGCCUCGCUCUAAACCUAACAACUUCAAUUAAGAAGAAGAAACUCCACAGCAUUAAUAAGUCCAAACACACUCCGCAGAGGUUCUCACCGAGAAGCAGAUGCAUUGACCACAGCGGUGAGAAAUCUCCCUUGUACACAGGCGCAGACGGGAGGGAGCACGGAGCGGGUGAGGAGCCACUGACAGCUGUCUUUCCAAACAACAACAGAGACGAAACAGAAGGAUUGAAAGCCAAGCACAGCCAAGAACUGUAACCACGGAUCUAAAGUUACAGAACUGAAGAAUAAUGAAGGUGAAACUCUGUACCCAGUAGAGCAACCCCCUCCUCCCUGCUGGCGAGCAGAGAUGGCCAGCGUGUAGAGGCUUCCCCUCUAGCCCAAUGUCUUAGGUGUUCCUACAUAUUAGAUUAUAAGAUCCAGA
Molecule: RNA transcript, 11415 nt
Organism: Peromyscus californicus insignis
Lineage: Eukaryota; Metazoa; Chordata; Mammalia; Rodentia; Cricetidae
Gene: Rtl6
Gene name: retrotransposon Gag like 6
Exons: 4
Source: RefSeq, a predicted model, not a curated record